This 468-nucleotide ribosomal RNA is filed under the name uncultured bacterium. RNAcentral's name for it is "partial 16S ribosomal RNA". It matches the Rfam family "Bacterial small subunit ribosomal RNA", at positions 28 to 507 of the family's 1533-position model. The record is from RNAcentral.
GACGAACGCUGGCGGCGUGCUUAACACAUGCAAGUCGAACGGAAAGGCCCUGCUUUUGUGGGGUGCUCGAGUGGCGAACGGGUGAGUAACACGUGAGUAACCUGCCCUUGACUUUGGGAUAACUUCAGGAAACUGGGGCUAAUACCGGAUAGGAGCUCCUGCAGCAUGGUGGGGGUUGGAAAGUUUCGGCGGUUGGGGAUGGACUCGCGGCUUAUCAGCUUGUUGGUGGGGUAGUGGCUUACCAAGGCUUUGACGGGUAGCCGGCCUGAGAGGGUGACCGGCCACAUUGGGACUGAGAUACGGCCCAGACUCCUACGGGAGGCAGCAGUGGGGAAUAGUGCACAAUGGGCGGAAGCCUGAUGCAGCAACGCCGCGUGCGGGAUGACGGCCUUCGGGUUGUAAACCGCUUUCGCCUGUGACGAAGCGUGAGUGACGGUAAUGGGUAAAGAAGCACCGGCUAACUACGUG